GUCAGUCCUAAGCAGCACAACCUUAGCCACUGUGGAGCUAGUGCCAGCUGUGUGAAUCUGUACAGUGGUGCAGUGUUAAGGGCAAAGAGCACUUUGGAGCCAAGGCAGACAAAACUGCGCAGAGCUCCCAGGCCUGGGUGAUGAUCCCUCUUCCCAGACAUCUGAGGAGUUGCCAUAUUGAUGUUCUCUCAUUGUUUCGGCUGAGCUGGAAUGAUCGAAAUAAUUCUGGGACUAUGACAAGUCUCACCAGACCUCGUUAUGGAUCAGGGAGAGGCUAUUCUGUGCUCCAUGUGUGCUCCUUGGUGCAGUGGCCUAGAGAAGAGAAGUGGCAACAAUGGGCAAAACCUUGAAGAAAGUUAAUGAGCUUAAGACAGCAAAAGUGGAAAAAAAAAUCUCUCUAGGUGUUUAAUAUUUGAAGCUGGUAAAAUCUUUAGACUGUAACGCAAAGGCUAUGAAGAAGUAUUGUACCACCCACAGGGUGCCUCAGGCUCCCUCUCCCCUCUCGCUUCCACAUGCCUGUCACAUUCUAUUUUCAGGGAAUCUUUCAUUCAUUCUUUCAGUGCCUAUUUAUUUGGCACCUGCUAUGGUACUAGGCAGUGUGCUACGUGCUAGAGGUACAAACAGAUGAAAUACACAGUCACUAUCCUCAUGGUGCCCCUCACCUAGUGAAGAAUGUGGUGACAAGCAUCAUGAUGGAAUCGAGGUCAGAGCCAAAAUAACUGAAGAGAAUUUCCUGGUGAUGCCUUGCUUCAGGCCCUAAUAUCCAGGGUCCAGGCACCUUUUCUUCCUGGAAUGGCUUCUGCUACAUGUGUCAGGAGAACCACGGCCUGGGAGAGAAUCACAUGGUUGCUUCUAGGUUCAAAUGAGCUGCAGUCACUUCCCCAGAGGAUGUAGAGCAGCAUAAGCCUGCUGGGCAGAGGGGGGGUCCAGGUCCCACUCUCUUGUAUCCGGGGAAGCACACAAAGGGUCUGGAGGACACUGCAUGAAUGUUUCUGCGUGACUGGACCCAUCUGCAGGCAAUUUAACAGUUGCCAAAGUUUCUUCAUCAGUGUGCAGUCUGGAGCACCCAAAGACUGGGCAGGGCUGAUCUGCGGUGACCAAGUUCAGAGGCACAGGAAGGCACAGUUUGCCUGAACAAUGCUGAGCGUGCUUGCAAGCCUGAGAGAUGCAAUUAUUUGAACGCUAUUAUAUGCUGGCCUUCCGGUGAGCUUCAAGGGAGCAGACACUAAGGUCUCUGUUGCACUCUCUGAGCCUCAGGCCACAGGCUGCCUGUGCCUUUCAUGUUCCUUCAGUGGCCAAGGGCAGGUCAUCUGGGAAAUGAAGGGAUGUGAGGCAGAGAUGAUUCUAGGAGAGGGUGGUGCAUUUCCCAUUUUGUUCCCAAAGUUUGGGUUCUUCCUUUAGCAGUUUCACAGUAGACCCAGUUAGUGAUACCAUGUCCAGCCCUUCUCUUCUUAUCGAUCUUGCUCAGGGCAGCAAUGUGCCCAGUUACCUACUUGCUUUCCUAGUUUCUCUCACUGCUGCUGGUAGCUUGUGCCAUAACCCAAGCCAAAUAGAUAUAAACUAAAGUCAGCUUGGGACUCCUGAGAAAGUUUUGCUUAUGUGAUAAAGAGGGCCCAUGUGUCUGGCACUACUCUUCCCCAAUUUCUUUUUGCCUUGGACAUGGACAUGAUGUCUGGAAAGCAGCAGCCAUCAUGUAGCCAUGAGGCAACAAAGAUGAAGACAAAGCUUAGACUGGAAGGGAGGUAAAGUAGAAAGAGCCAUUCAUUUAUUUAUUCAACUAGUAUUUAUUGAGUGUCUGUUAUGUGCCAGGCACUGUUCUAGUUGCUAGAGACACAGCAGUGAAAAAAGCACACAAAAUCCCUGCCUCCUUGGUGUUUAUUUUUAGUGGUAAC
RNAcentral lists this long non-coding RNA (1892 nucleotides) under Homo sapiens (human). Its description in RNAcentral is "non-protein coding LINC01948:11". Lineage: Eukaryota; Metazoa; Chordata; Mammalia; Primates; Hominidae. The record is from RNAcentral.